RNAcentral lists this ribosomal RNA (615 nucleotides) under Phialophora cinerescens. RNAcentral's name for it is "eukaryotic LSU rRNA". It matches the Rfam family "Eukaryotic large subunit ribosomal RNA", at positions 38 to 667 of the family's 3401-position model. The record is from RNAcentral. Lineage: Eukaryota; Fungi; Ascomycota; Eurotiomycetes; Chaetothyriales; Herpotrichiellaceae.
GCAUAUCAAUAAGCGGAGGAAAAGAAACCAACAGGGAUUACCUCAGUAACGGCGAGUGAAGCGGUAACAGCUCAAAUUUGAAAGCUAGCUCUUCUAGGGUUCGCAUUGUAAUUUGUAGAAGAUGCUUCGGGUGUGGCCCCGGUCUAAGUUCCUUGGAACAGGACGUCAUAGAGGGUGAGAAUCCCGUAUGUGACUGGGUGCUUUCGCUCAUGUGAAGCUCUUUCGACGAGUCGAGUUGUUUGGGAAUGCAGCUCAAAAUGGGUGGUAAAUUUCAUCUAAAGCUAAAUAUUGGCCAGAGACCGAUAGCGCACAAGUAGAGUGAUCGAAAGAUGAAAAGCACUUUGGAAAGAGAGUUAAACAGUACGUGAAAUUGUUGAAAGGGAAGCGCUUGCAACCAGACUUGCGCGCUGAUGAUCAUCCGGGCUUCUGUCCGGUGCACUCGUCUGCGCUCAGGCCAGCAUCGGUUUUGGUGGUGGGAUAAAGGCCUUGGGAAUGUAGCUCCUCUCGGGGAGUGUUAUAGCCCUCGGUGCAAUGCCGCCUACCGGGACCGAGGACCGCGCUUCGGCUAGGAUGCUGGCGUAAUGGUUGUAAGCGACCCGUCUUGAAACACGGACC